Long non-coding RNA from Nicotiana tabacum (common tobacco), 932 nucleotides. RefSeq lists it as uncharacterized. NCBI's taxonomy places the organism in Eukaryota, Viridiplantae, Streptophyta, Magnoliopsida, Solanales, Solanaceae. The record is from RefSeq and is a predicted model, not a curated record.
UUUCCCAGCAAACUCACCUGCACUCGAUUUUCAGAACGAGACCCAUUUCCACCAUUUUUUCCUCUCAAAAUUCAUUCCUCAAAAUCCUCUCUUUAACUCCUAAAAUCCAAAUUCAGAAAUAGAUUCAUCUUAAAAUCCUCCGUUUCCCUAUAGAUUCAUCUCAAAGAUAGACCAAAAUACCCAAAUUUGAAAAUCAAUUUUAUGGUCGAGUCGAAGAAGCUGUCCAAACGAAGCUAGGUUUCGUGAAACAAACGCGAUUCUUGAUUGUAGAGGUUCUUAAAAAAGGGAGAUUGUUGUUGCAUGUCUUCUGAUUAUUCUGAGAGGGAGGGACAAAUGAAUUAUAAAGAUCCUCCACCUCCAACCAUAAGAUUGUGGAUUCGAGUCACCAAAGUAGGAAAAGGCCAACUCUAUUAGAAAGAAGUGAUUCACUUUUAGGAAAAUUUGAAAAACUUUUUAGUGCAAAAGCUUUUCAACCUUUUUUGAAACAAAAAACACUUUCAGUUAGUAUUUGUUUGCCUUUCUCUGCCAGUAUGCAAACAAAGGGGUUGCCUCAAAAGUUGAGACAUGAUGUUAUAACAUGUGACAUUUGCUUGUGAAGACUGAAUCCAGCUUUUGUAACAUGACAGUUUGUCCUCCUCUUUUUGCUAUGUCAGGUAGUUUUUUUUCACUUGUAUUAUUAACGUUUUAACCCAGUGGAUGAUAGGGAUAUGUCUAGUGCUACAGCUGCGCUGCUUUCAUAUUGGUGAACUAUGACCUAGGACCACUUGUUUGCUGCUCGAAAUUCUUGCUUGUAGAGCAGAUAAAGUCCUUUUAAAUAAGGUUUUCUGUUAUAGAAUCUGAUUUGUAUUGUGACAAUCUUGGUAUUCUUACCACCAGAACAUGUUUCUCUAGUUUUGUUUGUCAUACUUGAUUAUUGAGAUUUUGUUUGAUCA